UUGUCGAAGAAAGAGAAGGCACAAUCAGUCUUCCACCUGCUCCAUCCGGAAGGACUCAAUAUUUAGCCAUUCUCGGGUUACCCUUACAGAUUGGUUAACAUUCAUUUAUCGAUUUGCACAGGGCCUACAACUGAGGCAAGUUGACAUGAUGGAGGAUGGUAUCGCCAAGAGCUCAAGGACGCUAACCAGAAUGACAAAAAUCCUGAGGAAGGUUUGCAACAAAGCCUUGAGGAGAUUCAAAAGGAGAAAGGGUUUUAAAGUUGGAUCCAGAUCUCUUUGGAGAUUUGUUGUGAU
This is a long non-coding RNA of Esox lucius (northern pike), 294 nucleotides long. RefSeq lists it as uncharacterized. The record is from RefSeq and is a predicted model, not a curated record. Lineage: Eukaryota; Metazoa; Chordata; Actinopteri; Esociformes; Esocidae. The transcript is spliced from 3 exons.